GGUAGCUCAGUCGGUAGAGCAGAGGACUGAAAAUCCUUGUGUCGGUGGUUCGAUUCCGCCCC
RNAcentral lists this transfer RNA (62 nucleotides) under Betaproteobacteria bacterium. Its description in RNAcentral is "tRNA-Phe". It matches the Rfam family "tRNA", at positions 6 to 65 of the family's 71-position model. From Rfam's summary of the family: Transfer RNA (tRNA) molecules are approximately 80 nucleotides in length. The record is from RNAcentral. Lineage: Bacteria; Pseudomonadati; Pseudomonadota; Betaproteobacteria.